AGUGAACCCUGGCGGUAGGCCUAACACAUGCAAGUCGAACGGCAGCACAGUAAGAGCUUGCUCUUACGGGUGGCGAGUGGCGGACGGGUGAGGAAUACAUCGGAAUCUACUUUUUCGUGGGGGAUAACGUAGGGAAACUUACGCUAAUACCGCAUACGACCUACGGGUGAAAGCAGGGGAUCUUCGGACCUUGCGCGAUUGAAUGAGCCGAUGUCGGAUUAGCUAGUUGGCGGGGUAAAGGCCCACCAAGGCGACGAUCCGUAGCUGGUCUGAGAGGAUGAUCAGCCACACUGGAACUGAGACACGGUCCAGACUCCUACGGGAGGCAGCAGUGGGGAAUAUUGGACAAUGGGCGCAAGCCUGAUCCAGCCAUACCGCGUGGGUGUAGAAGGCCUUCGGGUUGUAAAGCCCUUUUGUUGGGAAAGAAAAGCAGCAGGUUAAUACCCCGCUGUUCUGACGGUACCCAAAGAAUAAGCACCGGCUAACUUCGUG
RNAcentral lists this ribosomal RNA (492 nucleotides) under uncultured bacterium. RNAcentral describes it as "partial 16S ribosomal RNA". It matches the Rfam family "Bacterial small subunit ribosomal RNA", at positions 29 to 507 of the family's 1533-position model. The record is from RNAcentral.